AUACGGAGGGGGCUAGCGUUGUUCGGAAUUACUGGGCGUAAAGCGCGCGUAGGCGGCUUAUCAAGUUAGGCGUGAAAGGCCUGGGCUCAACCCGGGAACUGCGCUUAAUACUGGUAGACUUGAGUCCGGGAGAGGGUGGCGGAAUUCCCAGUGUAGAGGUGAAAUUCGUAGAUAUUGGGAAGAACACCAGUGGCGAAGGCGGCCACCUGGCCCGGUACUGACGCUGAGGUGCGAAAGCGUGGGGAGCAUACAGGAUUAGAAACCCCAGUAGUCC
This 274-nucleotide ribosomal RNA is filed under the name uncultured bacterium. Its description in RNAcentral is "partial 16S ribosomal RNA". It matches the Rfam family "Bacterial small subunit ribosomal RNA", at positions 523 to 796 of the family's 1533-position model. The record is from RNAcentral.